RNAcentral lists this ribosomal RNA (253 nucleotides) under uncultured bacterium. RNAcentral describes it as "partial 16S ribosomal RNA". It matches the Rfam family "Bacterial small subunit ribosomal RNA", at positions 524 to 776 of the family's 1533-position model. The record is from RNAcentral.
UACGUAGGGGGCAAGCGUUAUCCGGAUUUACUGGGCGUAAAGCGCGUGUAGGCGGUUGCGUAAGUUGGUUGUGAAAUCCCUCGGCUCAACCGAGGAACUGCAGCCAAUACUGCGCGGCUUGAGUGGCAGAGAGGAAAGUGGAAUUCCCGGUGUAGUAGUGAAAUGCGUAGAUAUCAGGAAGAACACCCGUGGCGAAGGCGGCUCUCUGGAACGCAACUGACGCUGAGACGCGAAAGCGUGGGGAGCAAACAGG